This 746-nucleotide ribosomal RNA is filed under the name uncultured cyanobacterium. RNAcentral describes it as "bacterial SSU rRNA". It matches the Rfam family "Bacterial small subunit ribosomal RNA", at positions 8 to 796 of the family's 1533-position model. Lineage: Bacteria; Bacillati; Cyanobacteriota. The record is from RNAcentral.
AGAGUUUGAUCAUGGCUCAGGAUGAACGCUGGCGGUAUGCUUAACACAUGCAAGUCGAACGGGAUACUUCGGUAUCUAGUGGCGGACGGGUGAGUAACGCGUGAGAAUCUGGCUUCAGGUUCGGGACAACCAUUGGAAACGAUGGCUAAUACCGGAUGUGCCGCAGGGUGAAAGAUUAAUUGCCUGAAGAUGAGCUCGCGUCUGAUUAGCUAGUUGGUGGGGUAAGAGCCUACCAAGGCGACGAUCAGUAACUGGUCUGAGAGGAUGACCAGUCACACUGGGACUGAGACACGGCCCAGACUCCUACGGGAGGCAGCAGUGGGGAAUUUUCCGCAAUGGGCGAAAGCCUGACGGAGCAAUACCGCGUGAGGGAGGAAGGCUCUAGGGUUGUAAACCUCUUUUCUCAGGGAAGAACAAAAUGACGGUACCUGAGGAAUAAGCAUCGGCUAACUCCGUGCCAGCAGCCGCGGUAAUACGGAGGAUGCAAGCGUUAUCCGGAUUUAUUGGGCGUAAAGCGUCCGCAGGUGGCAGUUCAAGUCUGCUGUCAAAGGUCGGGGCUCAACCCCGAACAGGCAGUGGAAACUGAACAGCUAGAGUACGGUAGGGGCAGAGGGAAUUCCCAGUGUAGCGGUGAAAUGCGUAGAGAUUGGGAAGAACACCGGUGGCGAAAGCGCUCUGCUAGGCCGAAACUGACACUCAUGGACGAAAGCUAGGGGAGCGAAUGGGAUUAGAUACCCCCGUAGUCC